Molecule: ribosomal RNA, 467 nt
Filed under: uncultured bacterium
Lineage: Bacteria
Description: partial 16S ribosomal RNA
Rfam family: Bacterial small subunit ribosomal RNA
Source: RNAcentral
GACGAACGCUGGCGGCGUGCCUAACACAUGCAAGUCGAACGGAAAGGCCCUGCUUUUGUGGGUGCUCGAGUGGCGAACGGGUGAGUAACACGUGAGUAACCUGCCCUUGACUUUGGGAUAACUUCAGGAAACUGGGGCUAAUACCGGAUAGGAGCUCCUGCUGCAUGGUGGGGGUUGGAAAGUUUCGGCGGUUGGGGAUGGACUCGCGGCUUAUCAGCUUGUUGGUGGGGUAGUGGCUUACCAAGGCUUUGACGGGUAGCCGGCCUGAGAGGGUGACCGGCCACAUUGGGACUGAGAUACGGCCCAGACUCCUACGGGAGGCAGCAGUGGGGAAUAUUGCACAAUGGGCGGAAGCCUGAUGCAGCAACGCCGCGUGCGGGAUGACGGCCUUCGGGUUGUAAACCGCUUUCGCCUGUGACGAAGCGUGAGUGACGGUAAUGGGUAAAGAAGCACCGGCCAACUACGUG